This 448-nucleotide ribosomal RNA is filed under the name uncultured bacterium. RNAcentral describes it as "bacterial SSU rRNA". It matches the Rfam family "Bacterial small subunit ribosomal RNA", at positions 328 to 793 of the family's 1533-position model. The record is from RNAcentral.
AAACCAGACUCCUACGGGAGGCAGCAGUGGGGAAUAUUGCACAAUGGGGGAAACCCUGAUGCAGCGACGCCGCGUGAGUGAAGAAGUAUUUCGGUAUGUAAAGCUCUAUCAGCAGGGAAGAAAAUGACGGUACCUGAUUAAGAAGCCCCGGCUAACUACGUGCCAGCAGCCGCGGUAAUACGUAGGGGGCAAGCGUUAUCCGGAUUUACUGGGUGUAAAGGGUGCGUAGGUGGCAGGGCAAGUCAGAUGUGAAAGCCCGGGGCCCAACCCCGGUACUGCAUUUGAAACUGUCCGGCUUGAGUGCAGGAGAGGUAAGCGGAAUUCCUAGUGUAGCGGUGAAAUGCGUAGAUAUUAGGAGGAACACCAGUGGCGAAGGCGGCUUACUGGACUGUAACUGACACUGAGGCACGAAAGCGUGGGGAGCAAACAGGAUUAGAUACCCCCGUAC